GACGAACGCUGGCGGCGUGCCUAAUACAUGCAAGUUGAGCGAUGAAGAUUGGUGCUUGCACCAAUUUGAAGAGCAGCGAACGGGCGAGUAACGCGUGGGGAAUCUGCCUUUGAGCGGGGGACAACAUUUGGAAACGAAUGCUAAUACCGCAUAACAACUUUAAACAUAAGUUUUAAGUUUGAAAGAUGCAAUUGCAUCACUCAAAGAUGAUCCCGCGUUGUAUUAGCUAGUUGGUGAGGUAAAGGCUCACCAAGGCGAUGAUACAUAGCCGACCUGAGAGGGUGAUCGGCCACAUUGGGAAUGAGACACGGCCCAAACUCCUACGGGAGGCAGCAGUAGGGAAUCUUCGGCAAUGGACGAAAGUCUGACCGAGCAACGCCGCGUGAGUGAAGAAGGUUUUCGGAUCGUAAAACUCUGUUGGUAGAGAAGAACGUUGGUGAGAGUGGAAAGCUCAUCAAGUGACGGUAACUACCCAGAAAGGGACGGCUAACUACGUG
Molecule: ribosomal RNA, 497 nt
Filed under: uncultured bacterium
Lineage: Bacteria
Description: partial 16S ribosomal RNA
Rfam family: Bacterial small subunit ribosomal RNA
Source: RNAcentral